UACAGAGGUGGCAAGCGUUGUUCGGAAUUACUGGGCGUAAAGGGCGCGUAGGUGGCCUUCUUAGUCAGACGUGAAAUCCCCAGGCUUAACCUGGGAACUGCGUCUGAUACUGGAAGGCUUGAGUUCGGGAGAGGAAUGUGGAAUUCCAGGUGUAGCGGUGAAAUGCGUAGAUAUCUGGAGGAACACCGGUGGCGAAGGCGGCAUCCUGGACCGACACUGACGCUGAGGAGCGAAAGCCAGGGGAGCAAACGGG
Molecule: ribosomal RNA, 253 nt
Filed under: uncultured bacterium
Lineage: Bacteria
Description: partial 16S ribosomal RNA
Rfam family: Bacterial small subunit ribosomal RNA
Source: RNAcentral